RNAcentral lists this ribosomal RNA (468 nucleotides) under uncultured bacterium. RNAcentral's name for it is "partial 16S ribosomal RNA". It matches the Rfam family "Bacterial small subunit ribosomal RNA", at positions 28 to 507 of the family's 1533-position model. The record is from RNAcentral.
GACGAACGCUGGCGGCGUGCUUAACACAUGCAAGUCGAACGGAAAGGCCCUGCUUUUGUGGGGUGCUCGAGUGGCGAACGGGUGAGUAACACGUGAGUAACCUGCCCUUGACUUUGGGAUAACUUCAGGAAACUGGGGCUAAUACCGGAUAGGAGCUCCUGCUGCAUGGUGGGGGUUGGAAAGUUUCGGCGGUUGGGGAUGGACUCGCGGCUUAUCAGCUUGUUGGUGGGGUAGUGGCUUACCAAGGCUUUGACGGGUAGCCGGCCUGGGAGGGUGACCGGCCACAUGGGGACUGAGAGACGGCCCAGACUCGUACGGGAGGCAGCAGUGGGAAAUAUUGCACAAUGGGCGGAAGCCUGAUGCAGCAACGCCGCGUGCGGGAUGACGGCCUUCGGGUUGUAAACCGCUUUCGCCUGUGACGAAGCGUGAGUGACGGUAAUGGGUAAAGAAGCACCGGCUAACUACGUG